RNAcentral lists this ribosomal RNA (520 nucleotides) under bacterium btn 7k-3. Its description in RNAcentral is "bacterial SSU rRNA". It matches the Rfam family "Bacterial small subunit ribosomal RNA", at positions 335 to 848 of the family's 1533-position model. The record is from RNAcentral.
ACUCCUACGGGAGGCAGCAGUGGGGAAUUUUGGACAAUGGGCGAAAGCCUGAUCCAGCAAUGCCGCGUGCAGGAUGAAGGCCCUCGGGUUGUAAACUGCUUUUGUACGGAACGAAAAGCCUGGGGCUAAUAUCCCCGGGUCAUGACGGUACCGUAAGAAUAAGCACCGGCUAACUACGUGCCAGCAGCCGCGGUAAUACGUAGGGUGCAAGCGUUAAUCGGAAUUACUGGGCGUAAAGCGUGCGCAGGCGGUUUUGUAAGACAGUGGUGAAAUCCCCGGGCUCAACCUGGGAACUGCCAUUGUGACUGCAAGGCUAGAGUGCGGCAGAGGGGGAUGGAAUUCCGCGUGUAGCAGUGAAAUGCGUAGAUAUGCGGAGGAACACCGAUGGCGAAGGCAAUCCCCUGGGCCUGCACUGACGCUCAUGCACGAAAGCGUGGGGAGCAAACAGGAUUAGAUACCCUGGUAGUCCACGCCCUAAACGAUGUCAACUGGUUGUUGGGUCUUAACUGACUCAGUAACG